This is a small nucleolar RNA of Lactuca sativa (garden lettuce), 106 nucleotides long. The record is from RefSeq and is a predicted model, not a curated record. Lineage: Eukaryota; Viridiplantae; Streptophyta; Magnoliopsida; Asterales; Asteraceae.
AGGUCAUUUUGAAGACAAUUCCUUAGCAACCCCUUAUAACGCUCUCAUGCCUCAUAAAGUGAUUCACCUGGAAUUGCUCAAAGUUGGCUAUUGCCUUUUUGAGUUU